This is a long non-coding RNA of Culex pipiens pallens (northern house mosquito), 2734 nucleotides long. RefSeq lists it as uncharacterized. The record is from RefSeq and is a predicted model, not a curated record. The transcript has 3 exons. NCBI's taxonomy places the organism in Eukaryota, Metazoa, Arthropoda, Insecta, Diptera, Culicidae.
GCAGAAAAAUAGUGGUUUAUUCUUCGCUUAAAGAUUUGGAACAACAAGGCUCAAGAUUUCGCACAUGACGAUCGCGUAAAGUGUCCCCACACACCAGUUGGUUGGCAAACAGGAGGACCGGAUCGUCUAUUUAGCGAGCCGUUGUCGCCGCUGAACGAGAAAUCGAUUAGUAAGAAGAUGGACCGCGGCGGUGCGGACUGCUGUAGUGUAGUGUUGAUUGUAGUGCAUUUGUGCGAUUUGAUGGCUGCACGCUAAUGAUUUGUUUACUGUGCUGUUGUUUAUGGGGGCCAGAGUUAUCGGGCGUCUUUUUUCCGCUUCUCGAACGGUGGGGAGACGGUGGUUUUAUUUGCCGUCUUUGCCAAGGGGUUGCUAAAGAGAGGUUCCAGUGGGCAAGGACUAGGAAUAUUUAUUAAUUACACAGAAAAUCUAUGGGUCAUCCUACAAUGCAAAAAUUAUCGCCAAGGAACAACGCGUGGACUUCCCUCGGACUCGGUCAGCAAACAACAAGCGUGUAGAAAAGCAUUAUCGUACGAUGCUGUUUGCUUGUUAUGCCGUCGUCACGAGACAUUGUUGCUCGAACUCGGGUGAGGCAAAAAAAGAAAUGCGAAUUUCGCACAUGAGAAGUAAAUUUUAUCGUAAUAAGUUAGUUUGGGAAAAUAAAGUGUAAUAAUGCUCUGUUAAUACGUGUAAAAUACAUUGUAUUCAUAUUCUGAGGAUUUUUUCUUUCGAAACUGGCUGGCUCGAAUCCCGCAAAGGCACAACAAAAUAAGUGAUAGUUUCGUGGAAGACAUUGCAUCGAAUUUCGAAUAAGAUGAAUCGAGUUUAGGCUAUAUCUUUAAAAUUAUUCUAAUUGUACAAUGACUUGCAGAAUAAUCUAUUUUGCACAGCUGGCGAUUGUAGGAAUCCCCCAUGUUGUCCCAGUACUUGAUGUAUGCUCGUUUUGUCAGAAUCCCUGCUAAAUCCACGACCUCUCUUCUUUCUCCCUUUCUUCCUAUCACUUUAAUUUUAAUGUUUUGAUAAGCUUUGACACAAAUGUUUUGUAAUCACCAGAGUGAGUAAAAUUUCGCGAUUUCACGAGAGUUGUGAUUUUUUUAACGCAUAAAAUGUUUAAUAAGCUUCAUAGCUAGUCACAUUUGCCAAAUACAGAAUUAUUUUUUAUUAUUUUCGCCAAAAAAAUCUGACAAUACUUGAUAGUUUCAAUGGUUUUGGUUGAUUUAAUGCAUACCGUGAAAUUGAAUUGUUUCAACGUGAAAAAAAUUAACCCUAGUAAACAUGUGCCCGGCGUCCAGUAGUGUGACCAAUGAAUCGCAAAACUCGCAGUCGCCGGUGGAAUCAUCUUCCAGCCACUGCUGCAGUCCAAUAGACCCUCGGAAAUCUCACCCAGCUCUCAGCUCAACCUCAGCUGAGCAGCUUGCGCGACGAAGACGCGGUGCGCGGGAGUGAGUUGUAUUAUUUGGCUUAUCAAUUCGACUGUGUUUACUGACCAGGCCAAGCCAGGGGACUGGCAUUCCGGUUCUACUUAUCACGUUGUGUGAAUGUGUGUCACCGUAUGUGUGUGUGUGUGUUUUUUUUCUUGUUUUUCUAAAUAAACUCCACUUAUCUCGUUGCGGUAGAAAUGGUUCAGUGAUUUCACAGUGGGUGAAUAAAAUAUAUGGCUAGCCCAGCUCGACACGUUGAUGUGAUUUCUGAAGAAUCGCGCCUCGAUCUUGAUACGGGUUGGUGGGCUCAGCUGCGAGUGGGGGAGUUUCUCCGCCCAAGGGAAGUCCCGUUCAUAAAGGGAGGCUGUUACAGCCCUGACCUUGCAAACUGAACUGCAUUUAGUUUAAGGGUUUGAAAUCAUUUGAUUAGAACCGGAAUUAGCUCGGUUGGAAAGUUUCUUCAAGUUUUUUGGUAUGAGGUUGGGCAAUGUAAUUUGGGGAUCUUGGAAGUCGUAAAUUGUGCAAUAAAGGUUCAAGUUCAUCUACCAAAUUAAUUUAUCAAAAACUGGUUUCAGUCUAUUUAUUCUGAUUAAGAAAAGGAUUUAUCUAUCAAUUAAUCAGUAAAUCAAACAAGUCUUAUGACUAGAAACAAUUGUUUUAAAUGGCGUUUGGUUUCUUUUUUUUUUGUAUAUUCUACCUUAACCAUACACUAAAAAGAUCAAAAUUGUACGCUCAACUUCGACAUUUAAUUACUCGCGGGCUAAAAAAACACUAAUUGGAAAACUAGGUGAGAUCAAAUCCAGGAUAUCCAAAAAGUGGUCCAAAGAGUUCAUAGUGAUGCCAAAAGGUUCCAUUGCCAUCACUGAAUAUGAAUCUCAAUCUAAAACUAUGUAUUAUCAUGUUGAUAUUGCGGGUCACUUUGGACGACCUAAAAUAUCCCAGGUUCAAUCAGUUCUUUGUGAUUCUAAAGGGUCCCAUAGACAUCCCUGAAUAUGAACUAAUCCAAAUCUUCGUUUUUGUUUCACGGAGCAAGGUGGGGGGAUGCGGCUGCGGCCUCAAGUCAAGCCAAGUCCGGUUUAUUAUGGAAAAUAAGGUAGUAGCCGAACUAGUAUUGCAUACAAAAUGAACAUCACAGGACGAUGUAGGGAAUCGGGAGGGAGAUGGUUAGAAGAAAUUAGUGUUGGUGUGAGUGAUAAGAACUUGGAUGAUUUCUAGAGUUUUUAAAAGGUCCUAUAAGCUAUUGUGUUUUAUGUGUUUAUAGGAACUUAAAAAAAAAACUCUAGAAUAUUCUUAACAUCAACUCUGGUGUGUCUCUA